Molecule: ribosomal RNA, 454 nt
Filed under: uncultured Desulfobulbus sp.
Lineage: Bacteria; Pseudomonadati; Thermodesulfobacteriota; Desulfobulbia; Desulfobulbales; Desulfobulbaceae
Description: bacterial SSU rRNA
Rfam family: Bacterial small subunit ribosomal RNA
Source: RNAcentral
ACAAGCGGUGGAGCAUGUGGUUUAAUUCGAUGAUACGCGAGGAACCUUACCUGGGCUCAAAUGUAUGUUGACGUAUUCUGAAAGGGAUACUUCUUCGGACAAUAUACAAGGUGCUGCAUGGUUGUCGUCAGCUCGUGCCGUGAGGUGUCGGGUUAAGUCCCAUAACGAGCGCAACCCCUAUCAUUAGUUGCCAGCAGUUCGGCUGGGCACUCUAAAGGGACUGCCGGUGUUAAACCGGAGGAAGGUGGGGAUGACGUCAAGUCCUCAUGGCCUUUAUGACCAGGGCUACACACGUACUACAAUGGCCGAUACAAAGGGCAGCGACACUGCGAGGUGAAGCCAAUCCCGUAAAAUCGGUCUCAGUCCGGAUUGGAGUCUGCAACUCGACUCCAUGAAGUUGGAAUCGCUAGUAAUCGUGGAUCAGCAUGCCACGGUGAAUACGUUCCCGGGCCUU